RNAcentral lists this ribosomal RNA (497 nucleotides) under uncultured bacterium. RNAcentral describes it as "partial 16S ribosomal RNA". It matches the Rfam family "Bacterial small subunit ribosomal RNA", at positions 28 to 507 of the family's 1533-position model. The record is from RNAcentral.
GAUGAACGCUGGCGGCGUGCCUAAUACAUGCAAGUCGAGCGAACGGACGAGAAUCUUGCUUCUCUGAUGUUAGCGGCGGACGGGUGAGUAACACGUGGAUAACCUACCUAUAAGACUGGGAUAACUUCGGGAAACCGUAGCUAAUACCGGAUAAUAUUUUGAACCGCAUGGUUCAAAAGUGAAAGACGGUCUUGCUGUCACUUAUAGAUGGAUCCGCGCUGCAUUAGCUAGUUGGUAAGGUAACGGCUUACCAAGGCAACGAUGCAUAGCCGACCUGAGAGGGUGAUCGGCCACACUGGAACUGAGACACGGUCCAGACUCCUACGGGAGGCAGCAGUAGGGAAUCUUCCGCAAUGGGCGAAAGCCUGACGGAGCAACGCCGCGUGAGUGAUGAAGGUCUUCGGAUCGUAAAACUCUGUUAUUAGGGAAGAACAUAUGUGUAAGUAACUGUGCACAUCUUGACGGUACCUAAUCAGAAAGCUACGGCUAACUACGUG